RNAcentral lists this ribosomal RNA (758 nucleotides) under uncultured bacterium. Its description in RNAcentral is "bacterial SSU rRNA". It matches the Rfam family "Bacterial small subunit ribosomal RNA", at positions 100 to 871 of the family's 1533-position model. The record is from RNAcentral.
GAACGGGUGAGUAACACGUGGGUGAUCUGCCCUGCACUUUGGGAUAAGCCUGGGAAACUGGGUCUAAUACCGAAUAGGACCACGCGCUUCAUGGUGUGUGGUGGAAAGCUUUUGCGGUGUNNNAUGGGCCCGCGGCCNAUCANNNNNUUGGUGGGGUAAUGGCCUACCANNNCGACGACGGGUAGCCGGCCUGAGAGGGUGACCGGCCACACUGGGACUGAGAUACGGCCCAGACUCCUACGGGAGGCAGCAGUGGGGAAUAUUGCACAAUGGGCGCAAGCCUGAUGCAGCGACGCCGCGUGAGGGAUGACGGCCUUCGGGUUGUAAACCUCUUUCAAUAGGGACGAAGCGCAAGUGACGGUACCUAUAGAAGAAGCACCGGCCAACUACGUGCCAGCAGCCGCGGUAAUACGUAGGGUGCGAGCGUUGUCCGGAAUUACUGGGCGUAAAGAGCUCGUAGGUGGUUUGUCGCAUUGUUCGUGAAAACUCACAGCUUAACUGUGGGCGUGCGGGCGAUACGGGCAGACUAGAGUACUGCAGGGGAGACUGGAAUUCCUGGUGUAGCGGUGGAAUGCGCAGAUAUCAGGAGGAACACCGGUGGCGAAGGCGGGUCUCUGGGCAGUAACUGACGCUGAGGAGCGAAAGCGUGGGGAGCGAACAGGAUUAGAUACCCUGGUAGUCCACGCCGUAAACGGUGGGUACUAGGUGUGGGUUCCUUCCUUGGGAUCCGUGCCGUAGCUAACGCANNNAGUACCCCG